Molecule: long non-coding RNA, 704 nt
Filed under: Felis catus (domestic cat)
Lineage: Eukaryota; Metazoa; Chordata; Mammalia; Carnivora; Felidae
Description: lncRNA (ENSFCAG00000042753.2)
Source: RNAcentral
AAUGCAUUCUGGUUACUGAUUUUGUGUUCAACAAAUGUUGGGCCUUCCUACUGGAGUGUGAUUUCAGUUUUUCUGACUAGAUAAGACAGCUAUUCUGCUUAUCAUAGAGCAGACUCUGCUUAUGUUCCAAGAUCUGUGAUUUGAUGACUUGACCAGCCCUGUGCCAUUCUGAUGUUGCUAACUAGCUAGUUGCUUUACACAGUUAUCAUAUUUUAUAAUGUCAAACUGGCACUGUCACAGGCCUGUCACUUAUAGACUUUAAGAAGUCUAUAAUUCAGUGGUUUCCUUAAAAUUUCUGGUGGUGCCUUUCAAAAUAUUCACAUGUUUAAGCCUCACUGAAUCAGAAUCUCCUGUUAGUCGAACCCAGAAACCCAUUGAUCUUGUCCCUCGCUUCUCUUUCAGAAACGAUACCACCCAAAUCAUCUUGCAAACCACAUGGAAAAUUGAAAAGGAGAUGACUUUCUGCAUAAAAGCAAGAAAAUGGAAAAGACUGAGGCUCAUUAUAUACCUGUAAGCAACCUAUCAUCUACUUUCUUUAUUAGUCGUAUAGUCCCAGAUGUAGACCUAGAAUAGUUCUUUUUCUUCUGGAUGAGUGGGUAAAUUUUACAACCACAGGCUUAAUGAGUAUGGAUAAAAUACAAAUACUCCCAAGACAAUUCUCCCUGGGAUCUAUCCCCAGCCAUCCGCAAUGCACAACUCCAGAG